UACGGAGGAUGCAAGCGUUAUCCGGAAUGAUUGGGCGUAAAGCGUCCGUAGGUGGCUAUGUAAGUCUGCUGUUAAAGAGUGAGGCUCAACCUCAUAAGAGCAGUGGAAACUACAUAGCUAGAGUGCGUUCGGGGCAGAGGGAAUUCCUGGUGUAGCGGUGAAAUGCGUAGAUAUCAGGAAGAACACCGGUGGCGAAAGCGCUCUGCUAGGCCGCAACUGACACUGAGGGACGAAAGCUAGGGGAGCGAAUGGG
This 253-nucleotide ribosomal RNA is filed under the name uncultured bacterium. RNAcentral describes it as "partial 16S ribosomal RNA". It matches the Rfam family "Bacterial small subunit ribosomal RNA", at positions 524 to 776 of the family's 1533-position model. The record is from RNAcentral.